RNAcentral lists this ribosomal RNA (253 nucleotides) under uncultured bacterium. RNAcentral's name for it is "partial 16S ribosomal RNA". It matches the Rfam family "Bacterial small subunit ribosomal RNA", at positions 524 to 776 of the family's 1533-position model. The record is from RNAcentral.
UACGGAGGAUGCAAGCGUUAUCCGGAAUUAUUGGGCGUAAAGCGUCCGCAGGUGGCGCUUCAAGUCUGUCGUCAAAGACCGGGGCUUAACCCUGGAAAGGCGAUGGAAACUGAAAGGCUAGAGAGAGGUAGGGGUAGAGGGAAUUCCCAGUGUAGCGGUGAAAUGCGCAGAUAUCAGGAAGAACACCCGUGGCUAAGGCGGUUCUCUAGUACGGUACUGACGCUGAGACGCGAAAGCGUGGGGAGCGAACAGG